CUCUCCGUCUUCGCCUAUCAGUGCCGGGUCUGCGCAGCCACAGGUUCCGGACGUCUUGGCCCCGGGAAUAAAUAAAGACAUAAACCAACCCGGCUUUCUCCGGAGGAAUGAGGUCUGAUCAAUGGGCACAAUUUCUAAGCAGCGCAGUGGUGGAUGCUCGCAAACUUUUGCGCACCGCUGGAAACCCACUAGGUUGAGUUGCAAAACGUACCGCGUAGACGCCCCUGGUGGCGCCGAGAGAAGAGCUAGGCCUGCCCAGCACAGAGCCGGAGAGCGUCGGGCCUUCCGGAAGGGUCGACGAGAUGAGUUCCUACUUGACCUCUGAGCCGAGGUGGGCCGGAAACCGAGGCCUAGGCCCCGCCGGGGCUGCAAGGAAAAGGGGAAACUCCGAGCGUAGCGUCUUUUCCUUGUGGUUCCUUUCUCCGGCAUCCCGGACUGCGGGCCCUGCAGCCACCUGGACCGGCAUUCAAAGGAUUCUGCAAGUCCAGCUUCACAGACUGGCUUUCCCAGACGCUCCGAAGCCCGCACCACGAACAGAAUAAAGGAGAGACGAGAGAUCGCAACUAGAUUUGAGAAUCCUCGUUCUUUUCCCCAAUCGUUCGGGCAGUAAACUCCGGAGCCGGCUACAGCGCGCAUCCUCCCUUCCUCCUUUCGGAGAACUGUCGCUUUCCCGAAGCUGCUCCCAGCUGGGUUUUCUCCCGAAGUUUAUUUUUCUCAUUUUGCAAAAUUCCUGCCCUGAUUUUAAUACUGCAACAGGACAGCAGAGGUUCCUCUUUAAAAAGUCAAAACCCAAACCAAAGGGGCCCAUUGCUGUUGAUAAUUUUUUUCUUCACCUUCUCC
Molecule: long non-coding RNA, 840 nt
Filed under: Homo sapiens (human)
Lineage: Eukaryota; Metazoa; Chordata; Mammalia; Primates; Hominidae
Description: HSALNT0370611
Source: RNAcentral